Molecule: ribosomal RNA, 337 nt
Filed under: uncultured bacterium
Lineage: Bacteria
Description: bacterial SSU rRNA
Rfam family: Bacterial small subunit ribosomal RNA
Source: RNAcentral
UUUGACGUUUAGCGACAGAAGAAGACACCGGCUAACUCCGUGCCAGCAGCCGCGGUAAUACGGAGGGUGCGAGCGUUAAUCGGAAUUACUGGGCGUAAAGCGCAUGCAGGUGGUUUGGUUAAGUUCAGAUGUGAAAGACCCGGGGCGUCAACCUCGGAAUAGCAUUUGAAACUAGGCAGACUAGAGUACUGUAGAGGGGGGUAGGAAGUUUCAGGUGUAGCGGUGAAAUAGCGUAGAGAUCUGAAGGAAUACCGGUGGCGAAGGCGGCCCCCUCGGACAGAUACUGACACUCAGAUGCGAAAGCGUGGGGAGCAAACAGGAUUAGAUACCCUGGUAG